Molecule: ribosomal RNA, 253 nt
Filed under: uncultured bacterium
Lineage: Bacteria
Description: partial 16S ribosomal RNA
Rfam family: Bacterial small subunit ribosomal RNA
Source: RNAcentral
GACAGAGGGUGCAAACGUUGUUCGGAAUUACUGGGCAUAAAGCGCACGUAGGUGGUCCGCUAAGUCGCGUGUGAAAUCCCUCGGCUCAACCGAGGAAUUGCGGGCGAUACUGGCGGGCUAGAGAUCGGGAGGGGUGAGUGGAACUCCGAGUGUAGAGGUGAAAUUCGUAGAUAUUCGGAAGAACACCAGUGGCGAAGGCGACUUACUGGACAUCUGUUGACGCUGAGGUGCGAAAGCGUGGGGAGCAAACAGG